UAAGGAAUAUUGGUCAAUGGACGCAAGUCUGAACCAGCCAUGCCGCGUGAAGGAUGAAGGUCCUCUGGAUUGUAAACUUCUUUUAUCUGGGACGAAAACGGGAUUUUUAUCUCAAUUGACGGUACCAGAGGAAUAAGCACCGGCUAACUCCGUGCCAGCAGCCGCGGUAAUACGGAGGGUGCAAGCGUUAUCCGGAUUCACUGGGUUUAAAGGGUGCGUAGGCGGGCAGGUAAGUCAGUGGUGAAAUCUUCCGGCUUAACCGGAAAACUGCCGUUGAUACUAGUUGUCUUGAAUAUUGCGGAGGUAAGCGGAAUAUGUCAUGUAGAGGUGAAAUGCAUAGAUAUGACAUGGAACACCAAUUGCGAAGGCAGCUUAUUACACAAUGAUUGACGCUGAUGCACGAAAGCGUGGGGAGCGAACA
Molecule: ribosomal RNA, 421 nt
Filed under: uncultured bacterium
Lineage: Bacteria
Description: bacterial SSU rRNA
Rfam family: Bacterial small subunit ribosomal RNA
Source: RNAcentral